Molecule: ribosomal RNA, 42 nt
Filed under: Giardia duodenalis
Lineage: Eukaryota; Fornicata; Diplomonadida; Hexamitidae
Description: Giardia intestinalis large subunit ribosomal RNA
Source: RNAcentral
GCGGCCCGAGGCGGCCGGGGGCGACGGGCGGAACUUAAGCAU